Molecule: ribosomal RNA, 444 nt
Filed under: uncultured prokaryote
Description: bacterial SSU rRNA
Rfam family: Bacterial small subunit ribosomal RNA
Source: RNAcentral
UGAGGAAUAUUGGGCAAUGGACGCAAGUCUGACCCAGCCAUACCGCGUGCAGGAUGACGGCCCUAUGGGUUGUAAACUGCUUUUGUACGGGAAGAAAAAGCUUUACGUGUAAAGCACUGACGGUACCGUACGAAUAAGGAUCGGCUAACUCCGUGCCAGCAGCCGCGGUAAUACGGAGGAUCCAGGCGUUAUCCGGAUUUAUUAGGUCUAAAGGGUGCGUAGGCGGAAAUAUAAGUCAGUGGUGAAAUCCUGCAGCUCAACUGUAGAACUGCCAUUGAUACUGUUUUUCUUGAGUAUAGUUGAGGUGGGCGGAAUGUGUCAUGUAGCGGUGAAAUGCUUAGAUAUGACACAGAACACCAAUUGCGUAGGCAGCUCACUAAACUGUCACUGACGCUGAGGCACGAAAGCGUGGGGAGCGAACAGGAUUAGAUACCCCCGUAGUCC